GUGCCAGCAGCCGCGGUAAGACAGAGGAGGCAAGCGUUAUCCGGAAUUAUUGGGCGUAAAGCGUCCGUAGGUGGUUUGGCAAGUCUGGGGUUAAAGCCCGGAGCCUAACUCCGGAUCGGCCCUGGAAACUGCCAGACUAGAGUAAGGUAGGGGUUGCGGGAAUUCCCGGUGUAGCGGUGAAAUGCGUAGAUAUCGGGAAGAACACCAGUGGCGAAAGCGCGCAACUGGGCCAUUACUGCACACUGAGCGCGACGAAAGCUAGGGGACGCGAAUGGGAUUAGAUACCCCAGUAGUCCUAGCCGUAAACGAUCGCGUGACUAGACGUGGCUCGUACCCACUCGAGCUGUGUCGGAGCUAACGCGAUAAGUCACCCGCCUGGGGAGUACGCACGCAAGUGUGAAACUCAAAGGAAUUGACGG
This 419-nucleotide ribosomal RNA is filed under the name uncultured organism. Its description in RNAcentral is "SSU rRNA". It matches the Rfam family "Bacterial small subunit ribosomal RNA", at positions 505 to 916 of the family's 1533-position model. The record is from RNAcentral.